CUUCCUUCCUGGCCUGAAGACUGCAGUCCUCCCUUGGCAUCUGCUCCAGUCCCCAAGGUCUCUUACACAUUCUCACUAGGUGCCUGCCCCCCAGAGGCUUCCAAAUUUACAAUCCCUGCCUCAGCACAGGGGACGACGUGAAACCAAAAGCCCGGCGGCGCCCAUUGGCUCCGAGGAGGCCUGAGUUAGUCACGAGCCAGCUCUGAGCAGGGUGCGGAGGGUCACUGUCACAGUUCUCAGACCCUCCUAACUGCAGAGUGGAGCUCGCCGGCACAGAGCCCACUUGGAGAAGCAGCCAGGGGCCCGAGGAGGGUAAAGAGGGACGGUGAGGACCACUUCGCCUCUUAGACAUGGCCGGGCCCCAGGGCAGCCAGAACCCGCAGGGACUUGGGAACCUUCCCGGUGAGUGCCAGCUACAGGGACAUGCAGGCUCACUUUAAACAGUGACUUCUCCGAGCCAGGUGCUGCAGCCCAUGCCUGGAAUCUUGCUGACUUGGGAAGCUGAGGCAGGAGGAUCGCAGAUUUGAGACCUCAAGAUUCGUCUGUUCCUGAAUAAAUAAAAGCCAGCUCCUCUCUGCUCCUGGGGCGGCUGCAGGGUUCACUGGUGUCGAUGGCAUGGGCUAGCCGGCGGCUUUGGGAGCCCCUCCAGGUCAGCGUGGAAGGGGACCAAGGGGAUGGGAGAGGCAGCCCAGCCGGGGCGGAUUCCACCGCUAACGGCCUCACGCUCAGCCAUCCAUCCAGGGCUGCAGGCUGACCGGAGCCAGAGCUGGCGCUUCACUCCUACAGGGGUCUCGGCUGGUGUCUGCCCAGAGCAGGAGAGACGGGGAGGCCAGGGGAGGCCAGGGGAGCCGGGGUCCCUCUUAGAGUGAGACAGGAGCUGGCGCUUCCACUUCCCACCGGGAGCCCAACUGCCUGCUCCGUAGGUGCCCAAGGACUGAAAGCCAGCGCGUUAUGAUCCCAACCAGCACCUGCCCACAGAGCUCUCUGCAAGGGUGUCAGUGCUCCAUAUCCGCAGCCCAGGAGCCACCAGCGGCCAGUGCGCCCGGGCAGUGGGCAGGGCUCUGCACUCACGGUGGUAACUUAAAUUUAAGCCCAGCGCUGCCUGACCACUCCUUCUACUGUCUUCCUCGCCCUCCCUGGAGACAGUGGAUCACCGUGACCUUCCUCCCCAGAAGGCAGGCAAAGGGAAGAGCUACUUCUUAGCCAAAGCUCAAGAAGGCCGAUACUUCUAUUUUAAAUUGACUUUUUUAUUCUUUUUAGGUGCAUAUGACAGCAGAGUGUAUGUUGACAUAAACACCUGGAGUGUGACCUCUAACUAGCAUCCCGUCCUCGUGGUGUGCCCGAUGUGGGGUUUCCCGGGUGUGGAGUCAGCCAACUUUUUGUCUCCCCAGCCUUCUCUUAUCAGGGUCAGCUGGACAAUGCCCACUGUCUGCUCUGCAAAAACCCCCCUGUGGUCCAGAGGGGACAGAUGAACCAAGGCAACCAGCUAACGGGACAUCACAACUGGAGCAUCAUUAUCCUGCAGCCCAGCAGGGACCACAGGGAGGGGAGGGCUCUUUCCCAGAGGGAAUGCCUGCUGAGGUGACAUGGAGCAGGGACAGAAACACCGAUAGAGAGGUAGUCAGGGCCAGGCAGGGAGCAGUUCGAGCCUGGUGCUCGGGGCUUACAGUGGACACACGGGGGUGGGGGGGACCCAGGACUCUGUAAGUAACAGGACUGUGGCCAGGGUUAGGUGGUGGGAAAGGGUUAGGUGGUGGGAGCCUGGCAUGGGAGAGGGACGGUAAGUGUCCCCUGGCUGUGUAUAGGGAGGGGCUUGUGGCAGGGAGAUGGGGUGGGGAUGAGGACAUCUACGGAGAGACCACAGAGGCUGGACCAGGACAUGACCAAGACCCUGAGCAGCCUGCCGGGGUUACUGAGGAGAGGGGGGAUUGGCCUGGGGGUGCUGAGGAGGCAGAGGUCAAGGUCGACACUUGAGUACCUAGGGGGUGGCAAGGCUGGUGCUUUAGAGAAGAGAAGGCGGCGCAGGCAUCCAUGGAGGGAGAGGAGGGAAGGAGGGAGGUGUACCCUGGGGAGCCCAGAGGCAAGGUCCCCAGCAGCAAAGCUUCCACCAGCCUGUCCCGCAGCGGCUCCUCCACAAGGCGGGCGUUUGCCCUCGUGGCCGGGCACGGCAGCUAGCCACCCAACACACAGGCCCAGAGCAGCCCCUCUGUACUAAGGCACAUGGCACGGUGCCCUGAGACAGCUGGCGCUGGCUUGGCAGGCCCGCCUCAUGGCCCUACUGUCUGCUGGAGUGGUGGCAAUUAAACUGCUAGUUGCAGCCAAGUGUCACGGGUGUUAGGCCAACAGCUCCCUGGGUGGGGCCUGGCCAGGCCUGCAGCAAGGCCUUCUUCCUCUAAGAGGGGUGGGAAGGUGGGUGGGGGAGCUCCUCCUGCGUCCGCGUCCCUCCUGGCUCAGACGCCCAAGGCAGAGUAUUUCAGGGCAGUCCUUUGGUGGCAAGGGCCACUUACCUACAACAGCCUGGCAGGGGGUGUGUACCAGGGUCCUGUGGCUGCCAUAACCAAGCACCACAAACUGGGGGCUAAUUGUUCUGGAGGCCAGAAGUGCCAAUCCAAGGUGUGGCAGGGCCAGGCUCCUGGGAAGGCUCUGCGGUGGGGGCGGGGAGGUCUUCCUGCCUGAGGCUGCGUACUCCCACCUCUCCUGGCUCCCACGCGCUUCUCCUCUGCUUUCUUAUGAGGACCCUGCCACUGGAAUCCGGCCACCCCUAACCCAGGCGACCUGUCUUAAGUUCUUUCCACCUGAAAAGGUCUGUUUCCAGUCAAGUCACAUUCUGGACCUGACCUUUGGGCAGUGACAUCACUCAGUGCAAUACUGCGGGCCGAUGGUGGGGCUGGGCAGGAGGCCAAAGAGCCCAGAGGUGGGGGAGAGAGGAAUGAGCAGACCA
Molecule: long non-coding RNA, 2941 nt
Organism: Marmota flaviventris (yellow-bellied marmot)
Lineage: Eukaryota; Metazoa; Chordata; Mammalia; Rodentia; Sciuridae
Source: RefSeq, a predicted model, not a curated record